GCCGGGGUGAGUGUGAGUGUGAGAGCGACCACAGCCCGGCAGGUCCCGAGGCGCUAGCUGGGACUCUGCCACGGAAAGUUCCCAGUCCCCGGCCGCAGGAUGGGAAGGUCCCUUGGGGCUUCCUGGUAAUGAAUGACCUGAGAGCAACACCGCCACAACCUGCGGGAAAAGGAGAGUCGUUUUCCCGACCCCGAGAUCUGCAGGAUUGAAAUGACAUGUUUUGAGGUCUUCAAGCUGACUCAUCAGAAUCCUGGAGCAUUUUUUAAAUGACG
This is a long non-coding RNA of Balaenoptera acutorostrata (minke whale), 272 nucleotides long. RefSeq lists it as uncharacterized. The transcript is spliced from 3 exons. NCBI's taxonomy places the organism in Eukaryota, Metazoa, Chordata, Mammalia, Artiodactyla, Balaenopteridae. The record is from RefSeq and is a predicted model, not a curated record.